Molecule: ribosomal RNA, 112 nt
Filed under: uncultured eukaryote
Lineage: Eukaryota
Description: partial small subunit ribosomal RNA
Rfam family: Eukaryotic small subunit ribosomal RNA
Source: RNAcentral
UCGCUACUACCGAUUGAAUGGCUUAGUGAGGCUUUCGGAUUGAUUCUAGGAAGUGGGCAACUACUACCAGGAGUCGAAAAGUUAGUCAAACUUGGUCAUUUAGAGGAAGUAA